This 496-nucleotide ribosomal RNA is filed under the name uncultured bacterium. Its description in RNAcentral is "partial 16S ribosomal RNA". It matches the Rfam family "Bacterial small subunit ribosomal RNA", at positions 28 to 506 of the family's 1533-position model. The record is from RNAcentral.
GAUGAACGCUGGCGGCGUGCCUAAUACAUGCAAGUCGAGCGAACAGACGAGGAGCUUGCUCCUCUGACGUUAGCGGCGGACGGGUGAGUAACACGUGGAUAACCUACCUAUAAGACUGGGAUAACUUCGGGAAACCGGAGCUAAUACCGGAUAAUAUAUUGAACCGCAUGGUUCAAUAGUGAAAGACGGUUUUGCUGUCACUUAUAGAUGGAUCCGCGCCGCAUUAGCUAGUUGGUAAGGUAACGGCUUACCAAGGCAACGAUGCGUAGCCGACCUGAGAGGGUGAUCGGCCACACUGGAACUGAGACACGGUCCAGACUCCUACGGGAGGAAGCAGUAGGGAAUCUUCCGCAAUGGGCGAAAGCCUGACGGAGCAACGCCGCGUGAGUGAUGAAGGUCUUCGGAUCGUAAAACUCUGUUAUUAGGGAAGAACAAAUGUGUAAGUAACUAUGCACGUCUUGACGGUACCUAAGCAGAAAGCCACGGCUAACUACGU